AAUAUUGCACAAUGGGCGAAAGCCUGAUGCAGCAACGCCGCGUGAGCGAUGAAGGUCUUCGGAUCGUAAAGCUCUGUCCUCAAGGAAGAAUAUUGACGGUACUUGAGGAGGAAGCCCCGGCUAACUACGUGCCAGCAGCCGCGGUAAUACGUAGGGGGCUAGCGUUAUCCGGAAUUACUGGGCGUAAAGGGUGCGUAGGCGGUCUUGCAAGUCAGAGGUGAAAGGCUACGGCUCAACCGUAGUAAGCCUUUGAAACUGUAGGACUUGAGUGCAGGAGAGGAAAGUGGAAUUCCCAGUGUAGCGGUGAAAUGCGUAGAUAUUGGGAGGAACACCAGUUGCGAAGGCGGCUUUCUGGACUGUAACUGACGCUGAGGCACGAAAGCGUGGGGAGCGAACAGG
RNAcentral lists this ribosomal RNA (399 nucleotides) under uncultured bacterium. Its description in RNAcentral is "partial 16S ribosomal RNA". It matches the Rfam family "Bacterial small subunit ribosomal RNA", at positions 360 to 776 of the family's 1533-position model. The record is from RNAcentral.